GGACCCGCACAAGCGGUGGAUGAUGUGGAUUAAUUCGAUGCAACGCGAAAAAAGCCUUACCUACCCUUGACAUGUCAGGAAUUUUUGCAGAGAUGCGAAAGUGCUCGAAAGAGAACCUGAACACAGGUGCUGCAUGGCUGUCGUCAGCUCGUGUCGUGAGAUGUUGGGUUAAGUCCCGCAACGAGCGCAACCCUUGUCAUUAGUUGCUACGCAAGGGCACUCUAAUGAGACUGCCGGUGACAAACCGGAGGAAGGUGGGGGACCGGACGUCAAGUCCUCAUGGCCCUUAUGGGUAGGGGCUUCACACGUCAUACAAUGGUUGGUACAGAGGGUCGCGAACCCGCGAGGGG
Molecule: ribosomal RNA, 350 nt
Filed under: uncultured bacterium
Lineage: Bacteria
Description: bacterial SSU rRNA
Rfam family: Bacterial small subunit ribosomal RNA
Source: RNAcentral